This is a long non-coding RNA of Danio aesculapii, 375 nucleotides long. RefSeq lists it as uncharacterized. The transcript has 3 exons. Lineage: Eukaryota; Metazoa; Chordata; Actinopteri; Cypriniformes; Danionidae. The record is from RefSeq and is a predicted model, not a curated record.
AGGUACCCCUGGAGAUGCCCACUUGCAGCCUUCCAGUUAUCUUUUCUUCGUUGCUAAACUGGUUUGCUCAGGACGGGUAUUUUAUACCCACACACCAAAGAAACUUUUUGAGGUUUGGGGAGAUGCAUCAUUGCGGAUCCUCUCGUAUUGCAAAAAAAGAGAAGAGAGCCUUGGAUCUAUCAGUUCAAGCAAACAUUUCAUCUGACAGCCUUGGAGAUCCCACUUUGGAGAUGGGGCUUUAACAACUCUGCCAGCUAUCCUUUCUCCACUGCCAUACAGAUUGUGCAGCAAGAUGGUUCGGCCCUCAUACCAGGAGGCAAAACAAGAAUUUGUUGAUUUUGCGAAUUCUAGGUGCAUUAUUUAUGACAAUAAAUG